This 208-nucleotide ribosomal RNA is filed under the name uncultured bacterium. RNAcentral's name for it is "partial 16S ribosomal RNA". It matches the Rfam family "Bacterial small subunit ribosomal RNA", at positions 568 to 774 of the family's 1533-position model. The record is from RNAcentral.
UGCGCAGGCGGUAUAUUAAGUCAGCUGUUAAAGACCUCAGCCUAACUGGGGAUCGGCGGUCGAUACUGAUAUGCUAGAGGGUGGAAGAGAGAAGUGGAAUUCUUGGAGUAGCGGUAAAAUAGCGUAGAUCUCAAGAGGAACACCGAUGGCGAAGGCAGCUUCUUGGUCCACAUCUGACGCUCAUGCACGAAAGCGUGGGGAGCAAACA